This is a long non-coding RNA of Antechinus flavipes (yellow-footed antechinus), 1051 nucleotides long. RefSeq lists it as uncharacterized. The transcript has 2 exons. The record is from RefSeq and is a predicted model, not a curated record. NCBI's taxonomy places the organism in Eukaryota, Metazoa, Chordata, Mammalia, Dasyuromorphia, Dasyuridae.
GAUAAGCAGAGAAGGUCCCAAGUGAACAACCCUGUUGUUGUUUCACCUGGGGAGAAGGCCUGUUUGAUGGGAGUCUGGCACUUCCUAAAUCCACCCCAGACAAUAGGUCACAUUCAACUGGGGGGCCCGCCCCGGAGGCUCCCCCAAGGCGGUAGGCCUAAGAGAGGGAGGGUGACUGAGGCAAGUUUCUUGGAGAGCCCCCCUCCUGCCCUGGGGCCGGGGUCACCAGGCCAGAAGGGCCUCUUGGACAAUGGAGCCCAUUGAGGCCCGUGGCUGUACGUGUGUGUAAGGGAGGGGAUCCCUCCGCUACUCUGCUUUGAAGAUGGGGGAGCCAAGAGGAAGAGAGUUUGCUCUGGGUUUCCCAGUAUCAAGAAGAAAAGGGGAAAAAUCUCUAGGAGGCCCCAAGAGAGCCCUGGGGAGGCUUUGGAGGUAAGGAAUAUAAGACUGAUCCAUCAAGAAGAUGCCAAAAGAUGUCGAAUAUCUGUUUUCAGCAAGAUAUUUGACAGAUUCUCUGAUCCAACUUAUUUAUUCUCUAGCACAUCCUCCACAUAUCUGUCAAAGUGAAAUUCUUAAAGCAUGGGUACCAUGGCACUACCAGCUAAAUAAACUCCAGUGCAUCUAGGAUCAAGUCAAAAUCUUUUAUUUGGCCUUUAAAACACUUCAAAGCCUACCUUUUCCAGGUUCAUUCCUGGAAAUUACUUCCUUUUUGUACUCUCCUUUCCAGCCAAAUAGAUCACCUUGCUGCCUCUGGUGUAUAAUUUUUCAUGAGCCACUCAGUUCCUUUGCACAGACUAUCUCCCAUGCCUAGAAGACGUCUUUUUCUUCCUUCUGCCUUUUAGAAUAUCUUCAAAACCCAGUUUAAGUGCCAUUUUUCUUAUCUUAUAUUCCAGCUAUUUGUACUUUGUCCCCUAAAAUCACUCUGUCUUUUACUUAUCUGUGAGCCUGUUGUGUCCUUCCAGUAGAAUAUAAACUCCCUAAGGGUAAAUCACUUUGUUAUUUUUGUUCUCAGAGACAAGCUGAGUUAUUGAACCAUAUUAAAUGCUUGAUAAAA